GCCGCCAUAGCUCAGUCGGUUAGGGCGUGGGUCUAAUAAGCCCAAGGUCGCAGGUUCGACCCCUGCUGGGGGCA
RNAcentral lists this transfer RNA (74 nucleotides) under Toxocara canis (dog roundworm). It matches the Rfam family "tRNA". Rfam says of the family: Transfer RNA (tRNA) molecules are approximately 80 nucleotides in length. Their secondary structure includes four short double-helical elements and three loops (D, anti-codon, and T loops). Further hydrogen bonds mediate the characteristic L-shaped molecular structure. tRNAs have two regions of fundamental functional importance: the anti-codon, which is responsible for specific mRNA codon recognition, and the 3' end, to which the tRNAs corresponding amino acid is attached (by aminoacyl-tRNA synthetases). tRNAs cope with the degeneracy of the genetic code in two manners: having more than one tRNA (with a specific anti-codon) for a particular amino acid; and 'wobble' base-pairing, i.e. permitting non-standard base-pairing at the 3rd anti-codon position. Lineage: Eukaryota; Metazoa; Nematoda; Chromadorea; Rhabditida; Toxocaridae. The record is from Rfam by way of RNAcentral.